CUACAAAGGGCUGGGACAACGUGGCUUGUGUUAGUUGAUGAAACUAUUAUACCACAAGCGCUGUGUAGCCCAAUCCUAUAGACCCCAACACAGAACAUAAAACAAAAUGCCCCAAUAGUAAGGAAUAAGAACGCUGCAAACAGACAAUCAGCCCCUGAACAAAGGAUCCGUAAGGGCGACGGCUACUCGCUAGCCCAUGUGGCUGAAAUCAACCCUGAUAAAAGGCCAUGUGCUUCUAUGCCCCUCUCUGUGAAAGCUGCUACCCCUAAAAACAUUCGCCAUCGUAAGCCUAAGAAGCAAUUUAUUGAGCCUGAGAAGCCAUACCAGAAAGGCCUCCCGCCCAAAAGCAGCCACCAUUCCUUUGUUCCGGUCUCAUCUUACCCAGCCACUGUAUCUUAUGAUCCUAACACAGCUGCAUAGCAACUAAAGGCUACGGAAGACUUAGUUUCAUUGUAUUUGACACCUGAGGAGGAUUUCACACAGUCACCCCCGUGGAGCAGAAACGGAUGUCUACACAAGCCUAAGAAGGGAUCUAAGAAGAGAUCUAUUGAUCCUGUGAAGACAUACACAGACGGUUUCCCGCCCAAAAGACGCCGCACUUCCUUUGUUCCAGACUCGCCUUACCCUGGACACUGUAUCUGCCGAUCCUAACACCGCUGCAGAGCAACUAACGGCAAGGGAAGACUUAGAGUCCUUGCAUUGGUCGUCGUCUAAGUGUGAUUUCACACAUAGUACACCAAAGCCCUACCAGCCACCAAGUGUCUCCAUUGAGAGGGAACAAAAGGAUACCCCUUUACAAAAGACAUCUGAUGAGACAAUCCAUGCCAUAGAAGCAGGAGAAGGGUCUGAAGACACCUGACUAACAGCGACAGCCCCUACAUCACGCCAAACAAAUUGGGAAGCUACAGGAGAAGGGUCUGAAGACAUCGAACUAACAGAGACACCGCUUACAGCCCACCAAUCGAGUCAGGCAGCUUUGCAGGAGGUCCCUGAAUAUAAUGUAGGUGAAUACUUCUUUAACUGUAUCUAUAGCACCGAGGAAGGCACCGAUUAUGUCAGCUGUAUGCCACACACCUCUGUCAUAACUGUGUCAGAUAAAAAGUGUAACAGGGGUAAUACCUCAAUAACCAGUCCUUGAUAAGCAAGCAGUACCUAAUUAUAUUACUAACAACCAGUUUGAACACUGUGGGGAACUAGGAGGUCCUGUGCAGGUAACAUUGCUUCAGGGUGAAGAGCUUUUUGAGUACUGUGUCAACACUACACCUCAACAACCUCCGUUAGAUGUCCAUUAUAAACAAAUACAAUCAGAAUUGUAUUUGUUUCCGAAUUACGAAAACAAAACCAUGCUUAUGAAUAAAUUAGAUGUCUUGCAAACAGCUAAAACACAAUUGACUGGUUUGGUCACAGACUUUGGCACAACUCUGGCCAGUCAGGUCAGAGCUAACACGCAUUUGGUUGAUUUGGUCACAGGGUUUGGCACAACUCUUGUCAGCUCUCUCAAUACACUGCUUGUACCUAUGAUAGUAUGCCU
Molecule: long non-coding RNA, 1531 nt
Organism: Perca flavescens (yellow perch)
Lineage: Eukaryota; Metazoa; Chordata; Actinopteri; Perciformes; Percidae
Exons: 8
Source: RefSeq, a predicted model, not a curated record